CAGUAUUUUCAAUUCAUCACCCCUUUUGUCUAAACCUUUCAUCUCCCUUAGAAAACCCUCUUUUUAUCUUUGACCCUUCUUUUUCUUCUCAUCCAUCUCAAAUAUGAUGACUCGAACUAGAUCCAUUACUUCUCCCAAAGUUAUCCCUCACUGCCCUUCAGACUCUUUCGAACAUAAUGUUCUUUUGAGGAUUCCUCCAAAGAGGAAUUUGAUGCUCCUUUUUCUUCAUCCAAGAAUAGACUUGUUGUAAAAAAAAAGGCCUCUAAAAAGCAUCGCCUAGAUCCCUCCAACACCCUCUAUUCUGAAGACAUGCAUUGAUUCUGGGGUAUCAACUAGAAAAACAAGUUUGAAGCAUUAAAUGUCAUCAACUUGGAAUAGCUGAAAGAUUCUCACCACCGGGGGGAGAAGAUGGCACAAAUAGUCCAAGCAACUAGCAAGGGGGAGAACUCACAAGAUGUUUUUUGUGCACUCAGCUAAGGGGAGUGAGUCUCAUAGCUGAACAAGCAAGUAUAGAAGUAUUAUUUGUGCAAAUUAUUUGUCAUUAUCAAAAAGGGGAGAUUGAUAGGUUCAAGUUAAUUAAAGUAAAGUUUAAAUAAUGGCAAAAUCACUUUGCAGGUAAACAAAGGAGUAGGUUGAAUGCCAGAAAGGAAUGAAUAUCAAGCAAAAGAAUUGAAUCAAUGUACAAGUGAUUUAAUCUGCUAUGCACAAAUCAGGACGAAGAUUAGAUCAUCUACAAGGGAAGAAAAUCAUAAGCUUAAAGUUGGAGUGCCCACUAGGAAAGAAAAUCAAGACAAGCAAAGGAAAGGAUUGAAGACCUCCUCUAAUCAAGGACCAGACCAAGGAAAUGACGGACUGCGGAAUGAAAGGAGCAAGAUAGAAGAUCGACCUCAUGUUUGGAAAGAAAUAAAUCAAGAAGAAAGAAGAUCGGUAGAAUGAUAGACCACAAUAUGGACAUGUACUAUCAUUCAUACUCAAUCAAGGAAAGAAACUCCUUUGAGUUUUCCUUCAGAGCAUAAAGAACCUCACUACAAGGAUCUAUAAGAAGUUUGUUCCUUUCGAAAAUGAAAACUACGCACUUCACUUGAACUUGUACUACAUCUUCUUUCUUUCAUCUUUCAUACUACUCUAUAACCUUGCAAAGCCUACAAUUAUAAAAGAAGAGAGUUGUGUUGGUUAUA
Long non-coding RNA from Solanum tuberosum (potato), 1178 nucleotides. RefSeq lists it as uncharacterized. NCBI's taxonomy places the organism in Eukaryota, Viridiplantae, Streptophyta, Magnoliopsida, Solanales, Solanaceae. The record is from RefSeq and is a predicted model, not a curated record. The transcript is spliced from 2 exons.